RNAcentral lists this long non-coding RNA (956 nucleotides) under Megachile rotundata (alfalfa leafcutting bee). RNAcentral's name for it is "uncharacterized LOC105663994, transcript variant X3". Lineage: Eukaryota; Metazoa; Arthropoda; Insecta; Hymenoptera; Megachilidae. The record is from RNAcentral.
UCAGCAUCGUAACUUUUUAUUUUGUUUUCUACGCUUUGGGCGACAAGCGUGAAAGAAAAUACGACAGCUUCAUCUUUGUGGAACUGUAGUGGACUGUCGCUAAAGGGCCAUUUGUGUUAAAAACUCCACUGUUAUCUGCGGUCGAUCAUGUAGGUCAUGGGGGUUUCCUUCAACCAGUACUUCUUAAACUUAGUUCCAUGGAGCCCUUAGAAAUGAAAAAUUUUAUCAUUUUAUCUAAAAUGGUGUAGUUAACUUCUCUUGAGAUCUUGUUUUACUAUUCUUUCUUUUCUGACUUUCUUACUUUUCGUAUCUUGAUACGGUUUACCUUGCAGGAGCUUAUGAAGACUUAUCGAUCUCUCAAGUUCAGAUAGCAGAAGAUGCAUACAUAGAAUUCAUCAGAAAAGAGGGAGACAAAGUUCGAUUACUGUGAGGGUGGAUUCCUCUUAUAAUCAACCCUUUGCGCUCGAAAGAAACCUUCAAUUCGAAGUGGAAGCUGCCAAUAUUUACUGAUGCAUAUCUACGCAAUAAAGACGUCACUUCAGAUCGUUACGACUCGAAUACAUCACUACCUCAAGUCAUCACUUUUUAUCUCCGUUGAACAAGUUUAAAAUAAAUUAAAAUUGUAGAACAGUAGUAAGACAUCACGUUUUUAAAUGCAAUUACGAACAUAAUGCACAUCGGUAUUCUUUGCGAACGAUUAAUUGAAUUUGUCCAUAAAUUAUCAAGGGCUAUGUAAUAUUAUUAUGCAUACAGAAUAAUGUUAAUAUUCGUACGAGUCGAGCGACUAAAAUAUCUCGGUAUUUAUUGUGCAUUGUUCGAAUAUUGCAUCACGUAAUGGCUUAACUACUAGUAACAUAAAUAAAAUUUGUACUUGUUUCUGUUGGAAAUUUGGAGUAUUCGAAAGUAUGGUAAACUACCCUCUCUAUUUUGCAAUAAAAUAAAUCAUUUUCAAAUAA